Molecule: ribosomal RNA, 483 nt
Filed under: uncultured bacterium
Lineage: Bacteria
Description: partial 16S ribosomal RNA
Rfam family: Bacterial small subunit ribosomal RNA
Source: RNAcentral
GACGAACGCUGGCGGCGUGCUCAACACAUGCAAGUCGAACGAUGAAGCUGGAGCUUGCUCCGGUGGAUUAGUGGCGAACGGGUGAGUAACACGUGAGCAAUCUGCCCUUCACUCUGGGAUAACUGCGGGAAACUGUAGCUAAUACCGGAUACGAGACCUUGGGGCAUCCCAGGGUCUGGAAAGAAUUUCGGUGAAGGAUGAGCUCGCGGCCUAUCAGCUAGUUGGUGAGGUAAUGGCUCACCAAGGCGACGACGGGUAGCCGGCCUGAGAGGGGGACCGGCCACACUGGGACUGAGACACGGCCCAGACUCCUACGGGAGGCAGCAGUGGGGAAUAUUGCACAAUGGGCGAAAGCCUGAUGCAGCAACGCCGCGUGAGGGAUGAAGGCCUUCGGGUUGUAAACCUCUUUUAGUAGGGAAGAAGCGCAAGUGACGGUACCUACAGAAAAAGCACCGGCUAACUACGUGCCAGCCGCCGCGGUAA